AGGUAUAAUAUUAGAGUAACCAUUAAAAUACACAAUACACUCAAAUGCUACUGCAAUUAAAUAAUUCAGUACAGAUUUUUUUUCUUGUAAUAAUAUUACUAGAGCCUUCAUCUACAACUCAUUUAUUUUAAAAAACUGGUUUUACAAAAUUCAAGUUAGGUAUUCUAUAAAUAUGUUUUGAAACUGCAUUUUUGUGUUGGAAAUAUUUCCCUAGUUAUGAUAAAUUAUAAAUUUUCUUCUAUUUGUUGAAGUUCAUAAAAAUCAUUAACCAAAUUAUUUUCUUAUACUAAAAUUGGUGA
This is a non-coding RNA of Cinara cedri, 299 nucleotides long. The record is from the annotation of a GenBank genome assembly. NCBI's taxonomy places the organism in Eukaryota, Metazoa, Arthropoda, Insecta, Hemiptera, Aphididae.